GACGAACGCUGGCGGCGUGCCUAAUACAUGCAAGUCGAACGCAUUUUCUUUCACCGUAGCUUGCUACACCGAAAGAAAAUGAGUGGCGAACGGGUGAGUAACACGUGGGUAACCUGCCCAUCAGCGGGGGAUAACACUUGGAAACAGGUGCUAAUACCGCAUAAUUCCAUUUACCGCAUGGUAGAUGGAUGAAAGGCGCUUUUGCGUCACUGAUGGAUGGACCCGCGGUGCAUUAGCUAGUUGGUGGGGUAACGGCCUACCAAGGCUGCGAUGCAUAGCCGACCUGAGAGGGUGAUCGGCCACACUGGGACUGAGACACGGCCCAGACUCCUACGGGAGGCAGCAGUAGGGAAUCUUCGGCAAUGGACACAAGUCUGACCGAGCAACGCCGCGUGAGUGAAGAAGGUUUUCGGAUCGUAAAACUCUGUUGUUAGAGAAGAACAAGGAUGAGAGUGGAAAGUUCAUCCCUUGACGGUAUCUAACUAGAAAGCCACGGCUAACUACGUG
This 507-nucleotide ribosomal RNA is filed under the name uncultured bacterium. RNAcentral describes it as "partial 16S ribosomal RNA". It matches the Rfam family "Bacterial small subunit ribosomal RNA", at positions 28 to 507 of the family's 1533-position model. The record is from RNAcentral.